UGGAAUAGUCCAUCUCCUAGCCUGGCCUUC
RNAcentral lists this non-coding RNA (30 nucleotides) under Homo sapiens (human). The record is from RNAcentral. Lineage: Eukaryota; Metazoa; Chordata; Mammalia; Primates; Hominidae.